RNAcentral lists this ribosomal RNA (253 nucleotides) under uncultured bacterium. RNAcentral's name for it is "partial 16S ribosomal RNA". It matches the Rfam family "Bacterial small subunit ribosomal RNA", at positions 524 to 776 of the family's 1533-position model. The record is from RNAcentral.
UACGGGGGGCGCAAGCGUUGUUCGGAAUCACUGGGCGUAAAGCGCGUGUAGGCGGCUUGGCAAGUCGGGUGUGAAAUCCCGAGGCUCAACCUCGGAACUGCACUCGAAACUGCCUCGCUCGAGUCCCGGAGAGGGUGGCGGAAUUCCCGGUGUAGGGGUGAAAUCCGUAGAUAUCGGGAGGAACACCAGUGGCGAAGGCGGCCACCUGGACGGUGACUGACGCUGAGACGCGAAAGCGUGGGGAGCAAACAGG